This is a non-coding RNA of Coturnix japonica (Japanese quail), 1109 nucleotides long. The record is from RefSeq and is a predicted model, not a curated record. NCBI's taxonomy places the organism in Eukaryota, Metazoa, Chordata, Aves, Galliformes, Phasianidae.
GGGGCUGAGCAAGAAUUUCUACUUGAACACCUCUUCUUACACCACACAAAGUGGUCUCAUAUGCACUGGCAUAUUUUUAUAACAUGGAUGGCAGAAGGCAGCAGCCCCAUCCCAGGCAGCACCAGCCCUGCUACGUCAUGGCCACAUCACCAAAGGCAGCCACCAGGUCCAGGAAUCACCCUGUAGCAGUCCAAGCCAGGUCACAAGAGCUCAACAAUAUUACUGGCUGUGUUCCAGAAUGAACUUGAUGUCAUGGCAACCUGGAACACAGAUCAGAAGGGGAGUGUCAACAAGAGACAACUAACCAGCCACACACAGGGAGAGAGACACAGCAUAACAGGGAAAGAGCAGGAUAUCGAGACACUCCUGUCCUCGACAGCAUUCAUCUCUUGACAAGAGGGCCGCACACUGCAGGACAGGCAUUGCCCUGGUUUGCUGAGCCCUGGUCCCAACGAAGGAGCUGAAAAGGAACCUAAUGAGUGCCAUGAAAAAACACAGACACAGAAAUGGAUGGCAUAACAGCUACCUGGUGAGCACAGUAACACAGGGGAGGGAAGCACAGGGAAGCAGGGCAUGUGGCUGUGCCUUUAUUCCUUCCCAUCUGACUUGUAGAUGGGCAUCUACAUAAAGAUGGAACCAGAGAAGGACACAAGCCAAUACUCCACAAUCUAACUGGUCUCCUGGCUGCAAUACAGAAGAGAUGUCAGACACAUACACUAUCCCUUCUUGAUCCAGUGAUCUGCUUUAAAAUCCCUAAGACCCUCUGCCCUCACCCAAUAUUUUAUACCACCACAGUGAGCUCUGGCCCCAGGGCCGUCACUGGCAGAUGACCUAAUAAAUGCAGUCACACUUGGAAUAUUCAGAAGAGAAAAUGCCUGGCAAAACAGAAAGCCGAUGAGAAUGGUCACACAGGGCAGGGGAGCACAGGGAAGCAGGGCACAGGUAAUGACUUCACAUGAGCAGCCCAGUGAGCAGGGCCAUGCUAGGGAGGGAUGCACAGGGAAGCAGGGAAUGUGGCUGCUCUGUUAUUCCUUCCCAUCAGACUUGCAAUUGGGCAUUUAUAAAAGAUGGAGAUAGAGGAGGACAUGUGCCUAUCCUCAGCCCCCUAA